GGUCCAUUAGCUCAGUUGGCAGAGCACUUGACUUUUAAUCAAGGUGUCCGGGGUUCGAGCCCCCGAUGGAUCACCA
This 76-nucleotide transfer RNA is filed under the name Oscillospiraceae bacterium. Its description in RNAcentral is "tRNA-Lys". It matches the Rfam family "tRNA". From Rfam's summary of the family: Transfer RNA (tRNA) molecules are approximately 80 nucleotides in length. Their secondary structure includes four short double-helical elements and three loops (D, anti-codon, and T loops). Further hydrogen bonds mediate the characteristic L-shaped molecular structure. tRNAs have two regions of fundamental functional importance: the anti-codon, which is responsible for specific mRNA codon recognition, and the 3' end, to which the tRNAs corresponding amino acid is attached (by aminoacyl-tRNA synthetases). tRNAs cope with the degeneracy of the genetic code in two manners: having more than one tRNA (with a specific anti-codon) for a particular amino acid; and 'wobble' base-pairing, i.e. permitting non-standard base-pairing at the 3rd anti-codon position. Lineage: Bacteria; Bacillati; Bacillota; Clostridia; Eubacteriales; Oscillospiraceae. The record is from RNAcentral.